This is a long non-coding RNA of Vespa crabro (European hornet), 258 nucleotides long. RefSeq lists it as uncharacterized. The transcript has 3 exons. Lineage: Eukaryota; Metazoa; Arthropoda; Insecta; Hymenoptera; Vespidae. The record is from RefSeq and is a predicted model, not a curated record.
CCCUUUCAUUCAUUAGAGACUUUCGCUGAAGACGGUACUUAUCAAUUUUCCGUUUUUCGUGGUACGUCUAGUUAUGAUAAAUUUGCAAAUUCGGAACAUCCGCUUGAAAAGAAAUUGAUGAAGUUGAUGUUAGAAGAAGAAAAAUUGACACCAAAUGUAAUGGAAGGAUUUGAAAGAGUUUGUAACAAUCGGAAACUAGCAAUCUACACGUCCGAGGAAGUACAGAAGAUUGCAUAUCUUAAAAUACCAUGUAACCUG